This 450-nucleotide ribosomal RNA is filed under the name uncultured bacterium. RNAcentral describes it as "partial 16S ribosomal RNA". It matches the Rfam family "Bacterial small subunit ribosomal RNA", at positions 354 to 796 of the family's 1533-position model. The record is from RNAcentral.
GUGGGGAAUCUUCCGCAAUGGACGAAAGUCUGACGGAGCAACGCCGCGUGAGUGAAGAAGGUUUUCGGAUCGUAAAGCUCUUUCGUUAGGGACGAACGUGCUCUUUGUGAAUAAUGAGGAGUAAUGACGGUACCUAAAUAAGAAGCCACGGCUAACUACGUGCCAGCAGCCGCGGUAAUACGUAGGUGGCAAGCGUUGUCCGGAAUUAUUGGGCGUAAAGCGCGCGCAGGCGGGAUAUCAAGUCUGUCUUAAAAGUGCGAGGCUCAACCUCGUGAGGGGACAGAAACUGGUAUUCUUGAGUGUCGGAGAGGAAAGUGGAAUUCCAAGUGUAGCGGUGAAAUGCGUAGAGAUUUGGAAGAACACCAGUGGCGAAGGCGGCUCACUGGCUCGAUACUGACGCUGAGGUGCGAAAGCGUGGGGAGCAAACAGGAUUAGAUACCCCUGUAGUCC